RNAcentral lists this small nuclear RNA (168 nucleotides) under Chinchilla lanigera (long-tailed chinchilla). RNAcentral's name for it is "U1 spliceosomal RNA (ENSCLAG00000018608.1)". It matches the Rfam family "U1 spliceosomal RNA". Rfam says of the family: U1 is a small nuclear RNA (snRNA) component of the spliceosome (involved in pre-mRNA splicing). Its 5' end forms complementary base pairs with the 5' splice junction, thus defining the 5' donor site of an intron. The record is from Rfam by way of RNAcentral. Lineage: Eukaryota; Metazoa; Chordata; Mammalia; Rodentia; Chinchillidae.
AUACUUCCCUGGCAGGGGAGAGACCAUGAUCACAAAGGUAGUUUUUCCAGGGUGAGGCUUAUCCAUUGCACUCCAGAUGUGCUGACAGACCCCUGUGAUUUCCCCAAAUGUGGGAAACUUGACUCCAUAAUUUGUGGUAGUGGGGGACUGCGUUCACUCUCUCCUCUG